GAAAUGCGAUACUUGGUGUGAAUUGCAGAAUCCCGUGAACCAUCGAGUCUUUGAACGCAAGUUGCGCCCGAAGCCAUUAGGCCGAGGGCACGCCUGCCUGGGUGUCACACAUCGUUACCCCGCCGUGCGCUCCCGUGUUGCGAAGGAUGUCACCAGCAAACCCGAUGUCUCGCUCUGUGAAGAGCGUAGCUUACAACGCGACCCCAGGUCAGGCGGGGCUACCCGCUGAAUUUAA
Molecule: unclassified non-coding RNA, 235 nt
Filed under: uncultured fungus
Lineage: Eukaryota; Fungi
Description: sequence contains ITS1
Rfam family: 5.8S ribosomal RNA (bases 1-107)
Source: RNAcentral